AUUGAACGCUGGCGGCAGGCCUAACACAUGCAAGUCGAACGGUAGCACAGAGAGCUUGCUCUCGGGUGACGAGUGGCGGACGGGUGAGUAAUGUCUGGGAAACUGCCCGCUGGAGGGGGAUAACUACUGGAAACGGUAGCUAAUACCGCAUAACGUCACAAGACCAAAGUGGGGGACCUUCGGGCCUCACACCAUCGGAUGUGCCCAGAUGGGAUUAGCUAGUAGGUGGGGUAAUGGCUCACCUAGGCGACGAUCCUUAGCUGGUCUGAGAGGAUGACCCGCCACACUGGAACUGAGACACGGUCCAGACUCCUACGGGAGGCAGCAGUGGGGAAUAUUGCACAAUGGGCGCAAGCCUGAUGCAGCCAUGCCGCGUGUAUGAAGAAGGCCUUCGGGUUGUAAAGUACUUUCAGCGGGGAGGAAGGCGGUGAAGUUAAUAACUUCACCGAUUGACGUUACCCGCAGAAGAAGCACCGGCUAACUCCGUGCCAGCCGCCGCCGUAA
RNAcentral lists this ribosomal RNA (504 nucleotides) under uncultured bacterium. Its description in RNAcentral is "partial 16S ribosomal RNA". It matches the Rfam family "Bacterial small subunit ribosomal RNA", at positions 30 to 523 of the family's 1533-position model. The record is from RNAcentral.